AUUGAACGCUGGCGACAUGCCUUACACAUGCAAGUCGAACGGCAGCACGGGUGCUUGCACCUGGUGGCGAGUGACGAACGGGUGAGUAAUACAUCGGUACAUGUCCCUUAGCGGGGGAUAGCCUGGCGAAAGCCGGAUUAAUACCCCAUACGAUCUACGGAUGAAAGCGGGGGAGCUGCGGGCCUCGGGCGAUAGGGUUGGCCGAUGGCGGAUUAGCUGGUUGGGGGGGUAAAGGCCUACCAAGGCGACGAUCAGUAGCUCGUCUGAGAGGACGACCAGCCGCACUGGGGCUGGGACACGGCCCAGACUCCUACGGGAGGCAGCAGUGGGGAAUUUUGGACAAUGGGCGAAAACCUGGUCCAGCAAUGCCGCGUGUGUGAAGAAGGCCUUCGGGUUGUAAAGCACUUUUGUCCGGAGAGAAAUCCUUGGCCCUAAUACGGUCGGGGGAUGACGGUACCGGAAGAAUAAGCACCGGCUAACUACGUG
RNAcentral lists this ribosomal RNA (486 nucleotides) under uncultured bacterium. RNAcentral's name for it is "partial 16S ribosomal RNA". It matches the Rfam family "Bacterial small subunit ribosomal RNA", at positions 29 to 507 of the family's 1533-position model. The record is from RNAcentral.